This 253-nucleotide ribosomal RNA is filed under the name uncultured bacterium. RNAcentral describes it as "partial 16S ribosomal RNA". It matches the Rfam family "Bacterial small subunit ribosomal RNA", at positions 524 to 776 of the family's 1533-position model. The record is from RNAcentral.
UACGUAGGGUGCAAGCGUUGUCCGGAAUUAUUGGGCGUAAAGAGCUCGUAGGCGGUCUGUCGCGUCUGCUGUGAAAACUCAGGGCUUAACCCUGAGCUUGCAGUGGGUACGGGCAGACUAGAGUGCGGUAGGGGAGACUGGAAUUCCUGGUGUAGCGGUGAAAUGCGCAGAUAUCAGGAGGAACACCGGUGGCGAAGGCGGGUCUCUGGGCCGUAACUGACGCUGAGGAGCGAAAGCAUGGGGAGCAAACAGG